AUACGGAGGGGGUUAGCGUUGUUCGGAAUUACUGGGCGUAAGGCGCACGUAGGCGGACUGGAAAGUUGGGGGUGAAAUCCCGGGGCUCAACCCCGGAACUGCCUCCAAAACUUCCAAUCUAGAGAUCGAGAGAGGUGAGUGGAAUUCCAAGUGUAGAGGUGAAAUUCGUAGGUAUUUGGAGGAACACCAGUGGCGAAGGCGGCUCACUGGCUCGAUACUGACGCUGAGGUGCGAAAGCGUGGGGAGCAAACAGGAUUAGAUACCCCAGUAGUCC
Molecule: ribosomal RNA, 274 nt
Filed under: uncultured bacterium
Lineage: Bacteria
Description: partial 16S ribosomal RNA
Rfam family: Bacterial small subunit ribosomal RNA
Source: RNAcentral